RNAcentral lists this ribosomal RNA (405 nucleotides) under uncultured bacterium. RNAcentral's name for it is "partial 16S ribosomal RNA". It matches the Rfam family "Bacterial small subunit ribosomal RNA", at positions 30 to 526 of the family's 1533-position model. The record is from RNAcentral.
AUUGAACGCUGGCGGCAGGCUUAACACAUGCAAGUCGAACGAGUGGCGGACGGGUGAGUAAUGCUUGGGAAUCUGGCUUAUGGAGGGGGAUAACUAAGGGAAACGGUAGAUAAUACCGCGUACCAUAGGAUGAGCCCAAGUGGGAUUAGGUAGUUGGUGGGGUAAAGGCUAACCAAGCCGACGAUACCUAGCUGGUCGGAGGGGAUGACCAGCCAACCGUGUACUGAGACCCGGCCCAGACGCCUACGGGAGGCAGCAGUGGGGGAAUUUGUCCCAUGGGGGCAACCUGACACAGCCAUGCCGCGUGAAUGAAGAAGGCCUUCGGGUUGUAAAGUUCUUUCGGUAGCGAGGCGUUACCUGCAGAAGAAGCACCGGCUAACUCCGUGCCAGCAGCCGCGGUAAUUC